RNAcentral lists this ribosomal RNA (492 nucleotides) under uncultured bacterium. RNAcentral describes it as "partial 16S ribosomal RNA". It matches the Rfam family "Bacterial small subunit ribosomal RNA", at positions 28 to 506 of the family's 1533-position model. The record is from RNAcentral.
GACGAACGCUGGCGGCGUGCUUAACACAUGCAAGUCGAACGGUGAAGGGACCGGUUUUUGCUGGUUCUGGAUGAGUGGCGAACGGGUGAGUAACACGUGAGUAACCUGCCCCCUCCUUCUGGAUAACCGCAUGAAAGUGUGGCUAAUACGGGAUAUUCUGCGCCUGCUGCAUGGUGGGUGUGGGAAAGAUAUUGUUUCGGUGGGGGAUGGGCUCGCGGCCUAUCAGCUUGUUGGUGGGGUGAUGGCCUACCAAGGCGGUGACGGGUAGCCGGCCUGAGAGGGUGGACGGUCACACUGGGACUGAGACACGGCCCAGACUCCUACGGGAGGCAGCAGUGGGGAAUAUUGCACAAUGGGCGCAAGCCUGAUGCAGCGACGCCGCGUGAGGGAUGGAGGCCUUCGGGUUGUAAACCUCUUUCGCCAGUGAAGCAGGCCUGUCCCUUUUGUGGGUGGGUUGACGGUAGCUGGAUAAGAAGCGCCGGCUAACUACGU